GUACUAUUUGUGUGACCCUACGGGUUCAGUCAAGAGUAAGCUGUGGAUUAAUAUCAUUAAUUCCACUUGAACUGAAGCGGCCUCUAGCUAGGCAUUCAGCUCACUUGAUCUCACUGAAUUAUUAAUUUGUUAAUUAAUACUGAACCACAUUUAUUAGACUUAACAUUGAAUGCAUACUUGGACCAAGGGCAUUAUUUCCUUCAAGAAGUAGCUCAAAUAGUUGGGCCUUUUUCUAAUUAGGCCCUGUUGUAUUAUUAGAACAAUAUUCUGGAUGUAAUAGGGAGUAUUUUGUAGUGCAGUUGGCACAAAGAUAAAUCAGCCUGGGAAUGAAGCCUUACAUGGCCCAAACCAAAAGUAACAAGAAAGGUUGUCAGAGAAGAUGUUCUGGUUAUUAGAAAUGACAACGAGGUAAGACUAUAUCACGUACAACAAUGCGGAGUACUAACCAUUUUGAAGGAUAAAAUGGAAACAAAAAGAAUUUACAUUUGUAUGUGGAUGAUGAGGUAAUCCGUAAAUGACAAUCUAUGUUUUGGAAAUGAUAAUUUAACAAGCAACAAGAUAUAGUUUGUAGCUAGCUAGGGCUUUGAAUUGUGAGAGGGUCGGGUCGGGUCGGGAAUCUUAGGACGCUUAUGAUUAGAUGGAUAGCCAAGCUUGUAUGUACGUGUUUGUAUUAUGGCCUGUUUGGAUAUGAGUCUUUCAUUGGCUUCAAAACAGAGGAGGUGGGAAUUGGGCCAAAUCAUCUAUUUGGGAAUGCAAAGUAUUGGGAAUUGGAUUUGGCCCAAUUCCAAGCCUUUUAAAAUUAAAGCCUAAAACUGGAAUUUGAAAUUACGUUAAAAUAGCUGGUAUUUCAAAUCCAAAAUCACGGUAUCUUGACCUCUCUGAUUCUCUCGCUCUCAGUAAUCUCUCAGCCUUACACUUUCUCUCUCGUGCCUAGCCAUCUUCGAGCAGCCUCACACUCUCUCUCAUGCCUGCCAUAUUCGAGCUCAGCCUCCAAGUUCUUCUCUUACUCUCUCCUACGCGAAUCGAUCUUCUGUUUGAGGAGGAAGUACCCCAGACCUCUUCUCUGUAUAUCUAAACAAAUGCAUCGACAAUUGAGAAGAUAUUUGCACAUUAUUUGCCUCGGACAGAGCUACUGGUGACGGCGCAGAGCAACAUGAUGAAUCAACUACUACAAUGGAGACUGAAAAUGAAGGUGGGAGUACUUCCGAAACAGCAUCUGGAGAGUCAAACAAAAGGUUGAAGAACGACUGCCGUGCUGAUGCGGUUAGUAGCUUUGCUGAAUCUUUCAAGGAGUAUGUGAGCAAGGAACGAAAUCCUCCAAGAUCGACUAGCCAAGAGAUAUACGAUGUGGUGUCUAGCGUUCUAGAAAAACUACUUUAUCGUAUUCAGAAUAGUCUUUCUUGGUUUCUUUUUAAAUUCCAAGAGUAACAAUAUUCUGGUUAUCCUGCUCUAUAGCUUGUCUAGAGGACUGUCUGAAGUGGAAGCCACCUUGAACCUUAAUGUGAUACAGUGUGCUUAAGACGUGGCAAGGGCAUCUUUGGAAUGUAUAAGCAACCCAGAAGUCCCUUUUAACCCAUACCAAGGCAAAUUAAUUCGUUUGCACGAAAGGAAAUGUUCUUCAAGGGCUACACCUACUAAAUCAAAGUUUAAAUGUAAAUAUGCAUAUUUAACACAAACCACAAAGAUAAAGUUCUAAUUGAUCUCUCAUUGACAUCGUCAUGCAGAUGUUUUGUUCUGGAAAAAAUUAAAUUUAUUCCACUAGAUACUGUGUUAUUUCUGUUAUACUCGCUAUUUGGAACUGUGGGAAUGCUUCUGUUAAUUAGGCAUUGCUUUUGUGUA
Spinacia oleracea (spinach) is the source of this 1839-nucleotide long non-coding RNA. RefSeq lists it as uncharacterized. The record is from RefSeq and is a predicted model, not a curated record. The transcript is spliced from 2 exons. NCBI's taxonomy places the organism in Eukaryota, Viridiplantae, Streptophyta, Magnoliopsida, Caryophyllales, Amaranthaceae.